UGCAGUCGAACGGCAGCACGGGUGCUUGCGCCUGGUGGCGAGUGGCGAACGGGUGAGUAUACAUCGGAACCUGUCCUGGAGGGAGGGAUAGUCCGGCGAAAGCCGGAUUAAUACCGCAUACUAUCUACGGAUGAAAGCGAGGGACCUUCCUCCCUCGCGCUAUACGGUUGAUCGAUGACUGAUUAGCUAGUUGGAGGGGUAAAGGCCUACCAAGGCGACGAUCAGUAGCUGGUCUGAGAGGACGACCAGCCACACUGUGACUGAGACACGGCCCAGACUCCUACGGGAGGCAGCAGUGGGGAAUUUUGGACAAUGAGCGAAAGCCUGAUCCAGCAAUGCCGCGUGUGUGAAGAAGGCCUUCGGGUUGUAAAUUUUUUUUGUCCGGAAAGAAAUCCUUGGCUCUAAUACAGUCGGGGGAUGACGGUACCGGAAGAAUAAGCACCGGCUAACUACCUGCCAGCAGCCGCGGUAAUACGUAGGGUGCGAGCGUUAAUCGGAAUUACUGGGCGUAAAGCGUGCGCAGGCGGUUUGCUAAGACCGAUGUGAAAUCCCCGGGCUCAACCUGGGAACUGCAUUGGUGACUGGCAGGCUACAGUAUGAGCAGAGGUGGAAUUCAAUUCCACGUGUAGCAGUGAAAUGCAUAUGAGAUGUGAAGGAAUACCGAUGGCGAAGGCCCGCUGCCCUGUGUACAAGUACUGACGUGUCAUGACACGAGAGCGUGGCGGAGCAAGACAUAGAUUACCACUAGCCCUG
This 753-nucleotide ribosomal RNA is filed under the name Burkholderia sp. Its description in RNAcentral is "bacterial SSU rRNA". It matches the Rfam family "Bacterial small subunit ribosomal RNA", at positions 56 to 798 of the family's 1533-position model. The record is from RNAcentral. Lineage: Bacteria; Pseudomonadati; Pseudomonadota; Betaproteobacteria; Burkholderiales; Burkholderiaceae.